GCAAACUUGGUCAUUUAGAGGAAGUAAAAGUCGUAACAAGGUUUCCGUAGGUGAACCUGCGGAAGGAUCAUUACCAAUCUCUUAGCGGGCCUUGGCUUGUCCAUGGUUCGCAAAAACUUGUAUUUAAAACCCAACUCAUGUAAAUGAAUCAUACUUUUUUUAUAUCAUAUGGUGUAAAUUUAAAGAUCACUUUCAACAACGGAUCUCUUGGCUCUCAGAGACAGGCAAACUUGGUCAUUUAGAGGAAGUAAAAGUCGUAACAAGGUUUCCGUAGGUGAACCUGCGGAAGGAUCAUUACCAAUCUCUUAGCGGGCCUUGGCUUGUCCAUGGUUCGCAAAAACUUGUAUUUAAAACCCAACUCAUGUAAAUGAAUCAUACUUUUUUUAUAUCAUAUGGUGUAAAUUUAAAGAUCACUUUCAACAACGGAUCUCUUGGCUCUCGCAUCGAUGAAGAACGCAGC
This 460-nucleotide unclassified non-coding RNA is filed under the name uncultured fungus. RNAcentral's name for it is "partial contains small subunit ribosomal RNA, internal transcribed spacer 1, and 5.8S ribosomal RNA". The stretch from base 1 to 73 matches the Rfam family "Eukaryotic small subunit ribosomal RNA", at positions 1759 to 1831 of the family's 1831-position model. The record is from RNAcentral. Lineage: Eukaryota; Fungi.